Cercocebus atys (sooty mangabey) is the source of this 2679-nucleotide RNA transcript. It is a transcript of the gene named MON1 secretory trafficking family member A, with no coding region annotated. The transcript has 7 exons. The record is from RefSeq and is a predicted model, not a curated record. Lineage: Eukaryota; Metazoa; Chordata; Mammalia; Primates; Cercopithecidae.
UGAGCCACCUCGCCCGUCCUAGUUUUUGUUUUGUUUUGUUUUGUUUUUUUAAAGCUUCCAGGGAUAUUCUGUGUGCCGUCAGAGUUGAGAACUACCGUUCUAGAGCAUUAUACUGAUACAUUAAAACGUGGCUACAAAUACGGUUUUAGAAACAAUUAGUGCGACUUUUGCGCAUGCCCACAUCCUUUACAGCCUGUGUGGCUGGGCCCACUGAUGUCAUUUAUCCAGUCCCUCAAACUUGCACUGUCCUUCCACAAUCAGUGGGAGAAACAACCCUAACGUCCCUUUCUCUCCCUUGAAAUGAACUGCUAGCUGGCUCGGAGGGUGAGGCCCAGAGUCCAGGUCUGCGGUCUGUGUGAGGCUCUAGGCUCUAAGGAGGCGCCCAGGUCCCUAGAAGGCGGCGCCGGGUGAGGCAAUCCUGGACGCGGGUCAGGACCUGCCCGCAGCUACGCUGGGACGAGGAACCCAGAGCCAGUCCCGCGGCGCCGCAAGCGGCCGGGCGCUAAGGACUACGUUUCCCACAAUGCACUCCGGGGGCGGGCCGGGUCGGGCUGUGCGGCUGGAGCUGGGCCUUGGCUGCGAGAGGCCGGAGAAAGCUGUGUUCCUGCACUGGCGGCCGGGUGAGGGCGGUGGGAGGGCGCGGUGCCUGCGCUGUGGCCAUGUCUGUGUACGCAGGGGGCCGGGGCCCCGCGAAGCUGUGCCCUCAGGCCGGGCCCAGCCGGACACCCUUACCCCCCCAGGGCUCUGGCAGAGGGCAGUGACCGGCACCUUCUGUGCGUCUUGGGCCCCUCUGAGAAACAGGAGAACCCAAAGGAUGGCUGCUGACAUGCAAAGGAAGAGAAGCAGCGAAUGCCCUGAUGGCACAUUGACUCCUUCUGAUGGACACAGUGUGGAGAGAGCUGAGAGUCCCACACCAGGACUGGCCCAGGGAAUGGAGCCAGGUGCUGGGCAGGAGGGUGCCAUGUUCGUCCAUGCCCGUUCCUACGAGGACCUGACUGAGUCAGAGGAUGGGGCAGCUUCUGGGGACAGCCCCAAGGAGGGUGCCAGGGGUCCCCCGCCGCUGCCUGCAGACAUGCGUCAGAUCAGCCAGGACUUUAGCGAGCUAAGCACCCAGCUGACGGGUGUGGCCCGGGACCUGCAGGAGGAGAUGCUGCCAGGAAGCUCUGAGGAUUGGCUGGACCCCCCAGGGGCAGUUGGCCGACCAGCCACAGAGCCCCCCAGGGAGGGCACAGCCGAGGGGGAUGAGGAGGAUGCCACGGAGGCAUGGCGCCUGCACCAGAAGCAUGUCUUUGUGCUGAGUGAGGCAGGGAAGCCUGUGUACUCCCGCUAUGGGUCUGAGGAGGCACUUUCCAGCACUAUGGGUGUUAUGGUGGCCCUGGUGUCCUUCCUGGAGGCAGACAAGAACGCCAUCCGCUCCAUCCAUGCAGAUGGCUACAAGGUAGUAUUCGUGCGCCGGAGCCCGCUGGUGCUAGUGGCAGUGGCUCGCACACGGCAGUCGGCACAAGAGCUGGCGCAGGAGCUGCUCUACAUCUACUAUCAGAUCCUGAGCCUUCUUACCGGUGCGCAGCUGAGCCACAUCUUCCAGCAGAAGCAGAACUAUGACCUACGGCGCCUGCUCUCGGGCUCAGAACGCAUCACCGACAACCUGCUGCAGCUCAUGGCACGAGACCCCAGCUUCCUGAUGGGGGCGGCACGGUGCCUGCCCCUCGCAGCAGCCGUGCGCGAUACUGUGAGUGCCAGCCUGCAGCAGGCACGGGCGCGCAGCCUGGUCUUCUCCAUCCUGCUGGCCCGCAACCAGCUCGUAGCACUUGUGCGCCGAAAGGACCAAUUUUUGCACCCCAUCGACCUGCACCUGCUUUUCAACCUCAUUAGUUCCUCCUCGUCCUUCCGCGAGGGCGAGGCCUGGACGCCCGUGUGCCUGCCCAAAUUCAACGCAGCCGGCUUCUUCCACGCACAUAUCUCUUACCUAGAGCCUGACACCGACCUCUGCCUGCUGUUUGUCUCCACUGACCGUGAGGACUUCUUUGCAGUCUCUGACUGCCGCCGCCGCUUCCAGGAGCGCCUUCGCAAGCGUGGAGCCCACCUGGCCCUGCGAGAGGCGCUGCGCACACCCCACUACAGCGUUGCCCAAGUGGGCAUCCCUGACCUGCGUCACUUCCUCUAUAAGUCAAAGAGCUCGGGACUCUUCACCAGCCCUGAGAUUGAGGCCCCGUACACCAGUGAAGAGGAGCAGGAGCGGCUGCUGGGCCUCUACCAGUACCUGCACAGCCGUGCCCACAAUGCCUCUCGCCCACUCAAGACCAUUUACUACACGGGCCCCAACGAGAACCUCCUGGCCUGGGUGACAGGCGCCUUUGAGCUCUACAUGUGUUACAGCCCCCUGGGGACCAAGGCAUCAGCUGUCAGUGCCAUCCAUAAGCUGAUGCGCUGGAUCCGCAAAGAGGAAGACCGCCUCUUCAUUCUCACGCCCCUCACCUAUUGAUGGGAAUGUGUGCAGGCUCGGCCUUCCCAGGCACACUGGGUGUGGGAAGCCGUAGGAGCCUCCAGAUGGGGGCUGGCCUCUCUUGCCCAGCCAGCAGGCAGGGACUGUGGGUUGGCCGCACCAUGCGCAUCCACCCACAGGCCGCUGAGAAAAAGGCGCCAAGACGCCAAGAGAAGGUACAGGAGCCAGGCUUCCAA